Molecule: long non-coding RNA, 875 nt
Filed under: Rhinopithecus bieti (black snub-nosed monkey)
Lineage: Eukaryota; Metazoa; Chordata; Mammalia; Primates; Cercopithecidae
Description: lncRNA (ENSRBIG00000046786.1)
Source: RNAcentral
ACCUCUGUGUGUUUGCAUCUUUCUUAUCAGGAUGGUGUCACAAGGCCACAACCACUAGCUGUAAGCGAGGUUGGGAAAGCCUCUCUGAUGGAGUUGGAUUAAUACCCACUGGGAUCACCACCAGAAGAAACCAAAGAAUGAAAACAGCAACUACUAAUGCCAGGAGGACAGAGCCCAAAUAAGAAGAAACUCCAUGUAGAAUGAAAGCUGCAGGAUGCUCUUUUUACCUUCCAUCUAUGGGAUUUGGUCAGCCUUACAAGCAUGGAGAUCACCUUCAAAUAAAUCAGACUAGAGACAAUAAUGCAACAGAGACGCCAGACUCACAAAUAAGCCUCUACGGCAGCACAAUCCCAGGGAUCUCUUACAUUUUCUUUAAGAAGCUGAGAUGCCUUGGUUCCACUGGGCCCUAGUAACAAUAAAGAAAAUGCUGUUGAAUUUAUGGUUACAUUUCAUCUACUUAAAAAGCCUGGAGAGGAAUUUUUUUUUUUUUAAUAAAUAAAUAAAAGAAAACACACUUGGUUCUAACAGAGGCACUCUGCUUUUAAGCAGAUGCACAUUCAGUUGCAGACUUUGUUUUCUCCCCCAAUUAGUGUCCAAAUGAGUAACUCACAAUUUCCAUUUGCAUGGUUCAUUUUGUUUCCCAAUGAAGUAAAUGAUUAUUUCUUGGUUCAAAGAAAGUCUUUUCAAGGACGCCAAACACUGAUAGCAUUCUAAUCCUUGUAAAUUAAAAACUUUUGCUUACAGUAAUAAAAUCAACAUUUGGACUGAGAUUCCAGAGUGUUUGCCUUUUUAUCCCCAUCAGCCCUGGCGUAUACAUAGGUCACUCAAGGGCCUAAUCUACCUUAGGCGUGCUCAGAAAAACUGAUGGGGCAACC